CUCGAGGAACGAGCCCUUGCAGAAGGAAAUAAUAUCUGGAGACGGUUCUUCCAGAUGUGUCCAAGGAAAAAGAAUGUCAGGGUAGGCUUUAGUUGAUGGGGGGACUAUGCACACUGGAAGAUUUAGCACACAAGAAGGGAAAUACAUCUACUGAUUCAAGGUGCUACUGACAACUGAGGCAGCGAUCCGGGCCAAGGAGCGAGGGUGGAUCCACGGCAGCAGAAUCAAAGGACCCGUGCAGGAACCUAAGGAGUGGACUAGAACAUCUAAGCCUGGGGAUACCAAGGUAACUCUUAAGAGGGAACUGGG
This is a long non-coding RNA of Corvus hawaiiensis (hawaiian crow), 309 nucleotides long. RefSeq lists it as uncharacterized. The transcript has 2 exons. The record is from RefSeq and is a predicted model, not a curated record. NCBI's taxonomy places the organism in Eukaryota, Metazoa, Chordata, Aves, Passeriformes, Corvidae.